Molecule: ribosomal RNA, 253 nt
Filed under: uncultured bacterium
Lineage: Bacteria
Description: partial 16S ribosomal RNA
Rfam family: Bacterial small subunit ribosomal RNA
Source: RNAcentral
GACAGAGGGUGCAAACGUUGUUCGGAUUUACUGGGCGUAAAGCGUGUGUAGGCGGCUUGGCAAGUUGGAUGUGAAAGCCCACGGCUCAACCGUGGAAGCGCAUCCAAAACUGCUUCGCUCGAGUCUCGGAGAGGAAGGUGGAAUGCUUGGUGUAGAGGUGAAAUUCGUAGAUAUCAAGCAGAACACCUGCGGCGAAGGCGGCCUUCUGGACGAUGACUGACGCUGGGACACGAAAGCGUGGGGAGCAAACAGG